CAUCAGCAGCAGCAGUAACAGCAGCAGCAGCAGUAACAGCAGCAGCAUCAGGUCGUGACCCCACAGCUGUCCAACACAGAGUCCAACUUUCACUUCUCUCCAAAGUUGAGUAAAAACAGACUUUUAUUGUGAAACAAACACUGACUCCUUUAUUCUGAAACGUUUCAACCUCUUCCAGUGAAGAUGACCCUCACACUUUUCUUCAGCCAACUAACUAACCAGCACUAACCAGCACUAACCAGUAGUAACCCUAAAGUGUAGCAGUCAAUCAUCAGCGUGUGAUUUUCUUCUUCUCUGUUUCAGCAGCACAGCCACUGAGCCUCAACCACCUCUGUCCAACUGUCCAACUGUCCAACUGUCCAACUGUCCCACUGUCCAACUGUCAGGUGACAGUGAUUGACAGGUCUGAUUUGGUGACAAAGUCCCAGCUGUUGACGAAGUGUGGGAUGAAUAAAGGAAAGGAGGUUAAGUCAACUACCUGUCAUUGUGACACCCCACUGCACCACUGCACCACUGCACCAUGUAACUUCUGUUUUCAACCCAUCACCAACAGCCAGCAGGGGGCAGCUUUAAGCGUCAGUAUGUGUGGACGGUGCCUUGCUCAGAGGACCCCAGUGGUGACUGGGCAGCUGAUAGACUCGAACCUGAAACCUUCUGGACCCAGGUCCGCGUCCUUAACCACUGAGCCCCCACUGCCCUAACGUUCUGUUCAGGUUCAUCUUUAAGUUCUAAAAAUACGACCAAUUCUUUUUUUUUUUUACUAUUUUUGUUCCGCCUGAAUUUCUCUGCCAGUACCCUAGGGGGCGCGAGCCCCAUGUUGAGAACCACCAGUUUACAUGUCCACGUCCAUGUUUACGGCAGCCUCUCCACUCAGAGCUCGGCCGUGUGCGUGAGAGUGAACUCGUGAUAGUGGAAGGCUGGGGACGGAGCCAGAGUUUGGACCAACUGCAGCACGGACCGCAGGGUUCUACCUGUGCACGGACCGACACGGACACGGACGCGGACGCGGUGAGUCCGUGUCACGGCAGCAGCAGCAGCAGCAGCAGCGGCGGCUCGUUCGCUGCAAAACUUGAAUUUAAAACCAAAGAACCGAGUCCUUGAACGCAUCACGCCUUCGUAUUUCUGCCGUUAUUGAACGUUUAAUCCGCUGCGGUUUAAACCGGACCAGGUCCGUGAAGUCCCGGUGCGUCACGGCGGACCGAAUCAGUUCCCUCUUCUGCUACACGACUCCAGGAACACGAGAAGAACUUCUGUCCUUCUGUUCUCCCAUUGGUUCCAGACACACAAGUCACUCUGAGCAGUUCCAGUGACAACCUCCGGGGACAGGACUACAGAUGUACAGAUGUUCCUGUGAUGUGUUCUGGAGCACUGAACAUCCCAUAAUAGCACAUCAUCAUCUACCUGCUGAUACUGGUCCAUCUGUCCAGGCAGCUGGUACUCAGACUGGUGCUGGUACUGUAGAGAGAACCAGGUGAACCAGACGCCGCGUCCCAGGAUUCCUGGAGGUGGAAGAAGUUCUUCAAUUAUUUAAAAAGCUUCUGAUGAACAGCUGCAGUUCCAGCUCAUCUCCACUGGGAGAAGAACCUGGGACAUGGAGGGAAGAGACGUGCCGAGAAGUCUGAUCAUCUCCAGUGAAGACCCUCAGUUUGACGGUGGUCUUCACCAGUCUUUGUUUCACCACAGACCAGGAGGUUUUCAGUCUGUAACAACAGACAGGAACAACAGACAGGAACAACAGACAAGAACAACAGACAGGAACAACAGACAGGAACAACAGACAGGAACAACAGACAGGUUUCACAGUAAAGACUCAACGUUGUUCAUGUCAACCACAGCACGCACGUGUGUGUGUGUGUGUGUGUGUGUGUGUGUGUGUGUGUGUGUUUGGACCAUGUAAAUAUGAGGCCGAGCCAACAACCAGGCCCAGGAAGGAGAGGCCGCUCUGGGAAAAGGAACAAACAGAAUGCUGGGAAAACUUGGACUGACUGACCCUGGAUCAGGG
Molecule: long non-coding RNA, 2002 nt
Organism: Cynoglossus semilaevis (tongue sole)
Lineage: Eukaryota; Metazoa; Chordata; Actinopteri; Pleuronectiformes; Cynoglossidae
Exons: 3
Source: RefSeq, a predicted model, not a curated record